Molecule: ribosomal RNA, 528 nt
Filed under: Sakaguchia dacryoidea
Lineage: Eukaryota; Fungi; Basidiomycota; Cystobasidiomycetes; Sakaguchiales; Sakaguchiaceae
Description: partial large subunit ribosomal RNA
Rfam family: Eukaryotic large subunit ribosomal RNA
Source: RNAcentral
AACAAGGAUUCCCCUAGUAACGGCGAGUGAAGUGGGAAGCUCAACUUUGUAAUCUGGCAGCUUCGCUGUCCGAGUGUAGUCUCGAGAAGUGUUUUCCGCGCUGGACCAUGUAUGAGUCUGUUGGAAUACAGCGUCAUAGAGGGUGAGAACCCCGUUCAUGACAUGACUUCCAGUGCUUUGUGAUACACUUUCGAUGAGUCGAGUUGUUUGGGAAUGCAGCUCAAAAUGGGUGGUAAAUUCCAUCUAAAGCUAAAUAUUGGGGAGAGACCGAUAGCAAACAAGUACCGUGAGGGAAAGAUGAAAAGCACUUUGGAAAGAGAGUUAACAGUACGUGAAAUUGUUGAAAGGGAAACGCUUGAAGUCAGACGUGCGUAGUGCCUUCGGGUGCUGUUGCAGGCCAGCAUCAGUUUCUCGAGCCGGAUAAAGGUAGGAGGAAGGUGGCAGCUCCGGCUGUGUUAUAGCCUCCUACUGAAUACGGAUCUUGAGACUGAGGAAUGCGAUUCUAGGAUGCUGGUGAAAUGGCUUUAA